UGGGGGAUAUUGCACAAUGGGCGAAAGCCUGAUGCAGCGACGCCGCGUGGGGGAUGAAGGCCUUCGGGUUGUAAACUUCUUUUGCUCUGAACAAGGCAUGCUAAUGGGUGUGUUGAGUGUAGGGGUUGAUUAGCGCCGGCUAACUACGUGCCAGCAGCCGCGGUAAUACGUAGGGCGCGAGCGUUGUCCGGAAUUAUUGGGCGUAAAGGGCUUGUAGGUGGCUGGUUGCGUCUGUCGUGAAAGCUCAUGGCUUAACUGUGGAUUUGCGGUGGGUACGGGCUGGCUUGAGUGCAGUAGGGGAGGCUGGAAUUCCUGGUGUAGCGGUGGAAUGCGCAGAUAUCAGGAGGAAUACCGGUGGCGAAGGCGGGUCUCUGGGCUGUUACUGACACUGAGGAGCGAAAGCAUGGGGAGCGAACAGG
RNAcentral lists this ribosomal RNA (419 nucleotides) under bacterium. RNAcentral describes it as "partial 16S ribosomal RNA". It matches the Rfam family "Bacterial small subunit ribosomal RNA", at positions 355 to 776 of the family's 1533-position model. The record is from RNAcentral.